This 809-nucleotide long non-coding RNA is filed under the name Prunus dulcis (almond). RNAcentral describes it as "sRNA ncRNA". Lineage: Eukaryota; Viridiplantae; Streptophyta; Magnoliopsida; Rosales; Rosaceae. The record is from RNAcentral.
CGUCCGUGUCCGUCGAAAACGGCGUGUUCACUAUUCCUCCUUGGGGCCCCCAUUUCACGCGCAAGAUUAAAUUCUUAGGUUAUUAAUAAUUGGGUUUAAAGCAAAGAAAAAUAGUGUUAAAAAAAUUGAUCAUGUUUUAUGGGGAGACGUGUACUGCUGCAUGGGAAAUGACUCAACCUCGACGCCAACGGUUAAAUGAGCGCAUGUUAGCUGAGCAUAUGCGGCGCUAUCGUACGCCUUAGGAGAAUAUGGGCAAAUGGGUAAAAGGGGGCAUUGAGGGAUUUUCAAAGGCUGGGGAACAUGAGAUGAGAUCCCAAUGUGCAUCGAGGAUGAUGCUCCCUAUCCCUAUGGUAAGAUCUACACCCGUCCAUCCAAUCCACUACUCAAAAUCAUGAACAUCAAAAUGAGCCGUUGAUAUUUUAUCUCGGGGUUGUGACCGGGUCAACAAUGACAACAAUUCAAUUAAAUCCAACGGCUAUGAUUGUUGAUUGGAGAGCGUGGGCCAUAGAACAGUCUGUUUCAUAAGCAACAGACAAAACUCAUAUCUUGUACAGUAUUGUAAUUUAGACAAAACUGUUGUGUGAACUGGAAGGGCGGGCAAUAUACGUAUACCUGAGCAGGCCCAGUUCGAGAAGACUAUGGCAGCAAAUCAUUUAUCAUGUACAGAUAAGGUUGGUCAUAUGUUGGAGAAAUUAGCUUCGUUGACCUUUUGUGCUCAUAUAUAUCUAAUUUGAUGGACAAUAUACUCAAAACAACUUAUUAUUACCCUCCUCUUAAUUUUUAAGUUUUACCUAAUCUCUCUAACUUAU